UUGUUUUUUUCUUAAUAUGUGACAUUGCCUGUGUGACUGUAAGGUAGUGUUUUAGGUGUUGUUACUUCUAUUUUUGUUAAUAUCACAGGUAACUGUUUAAAUGACUUACAUAUUUUUUCUCAAGCUCUAGCUCACCAUGCAGGACAAAGGUAAGUCCGUACUUAAUGUCAACACAAAUAAGUAGAAAAGGUUUAAAAAUGAUGUCGUGAACUGACUGUAGUCUCUUGUUUUUACAUAAGGUAUAGCCUGUGGCUCAGGGAUCAGAGGUGCUUUACACUUGUCCUCUCCCAGCAUUCAGCACUUCAGACACUCAACGUCCAGGACGGAGCUAACACAGAGAGAUACUCCACCCAGAAGACAGCCUUACCCCAACCCGAUGAGAAGGAUGGAUGACCAAAUGACAAACUGGAGAGUGGUGCUGUGUUGCAGCUAUGGCAGCUGAGAGUGGACAGAGCUGCACAGAGGACCAAAGAUCCACUCUCAGCACUUCAUACCUGACUGGCCACAGCACCACCCCUCUUCACCCAGGGUGAGGAGGGUCCUGACCCCGCCUGCACAGAGGGAGUUGUGAACAUGCACUUCUGUGUCGGUGGGUUUAGGAUCCUCCUCACACUCACACUGAUGAAGACUGUCACUGGAAGAUGUCUCCAUUGCAUCAGCAGGACGUAAGCAUUUGUAAAAUAUUACAGUUUGUGAUGUUUUAUACAUGUUUUUAUUGCUUCACUUCAAACUAGGAGAUAUAAAAUAAACCAGUUUUCAUAAUAUUUUCUGUGUAUUUAGUUGUUUUCUUAAUAAGUUAUUUGGAACAUCAUUGCAACCUGUCAGCUUUUUAUUGAGGAUUUAGAAAGUUGCUGGUGGCCCGAGUGUGUAGAGUGGGGUGUUGUUUUUGUCACAUGGUGAAAGUGACCUCAGGGGGAGCAAAAAGAACAGCUGAAC
Molecule: long non-coding RNA, 936 nt
Organism: Haplochromis burtoni (Burton's mouthbrooder)
Lineage: Eukaryota; Metazoa; Chordata; Actinopteri; Cichliformes; Cichlidae
Exons: 3
Source: RefSeq, a predicted model, not a curated record